Molecule: long non-coding RNA, 852 nt
Organism: Stomoxys calcitrans (stable fly)
Lineage: Eukaryota; Metazoa; Arthropoda; Insecta; Diptera; Muscidae
Exons: 2
Source: RefSeq, a predicted model, not a curated record
CUCUAAACACCACAAGAGAGUAAUAACAAACACAGCAACGAAUUUUAUAAGAAGAGUAUUUAGCAUUAGUGAUCCAGACUUUCAUCCUGACAAUGAGAGGAAAAUAAAGGCAAUUCUUAGAGCCAACGACUUCCCUAAUUGGACAAUUAAUUCACUAUUAGGCAAGGCCAAGGAACGUCUUGGAAAAAUCAUAGACGGAGAGCAGCCUACAAAAGGAAAAAUUUAUAAAUCGCUAACAUACAUACAAGGAUUCUCCGAAAGAUUUGGCAAAUCAAAUCUAUACGACAAGGACAAAUACCAUCUCGCAUUAAAAACAGGCAAAACUGUGAAUGAAUUAUUCAGCAAGACAAAAUGUAAAAUUAAAAAUGAGGAAAAAUCAAACGUGGUAUAUAAAAUUAGAUGUAACGGCGACAAGUCCAAUAUAUGCCCGAUGGCAUAUAUUGGCACUACCAUGACGAAAUUGAAAACUAGGUUAUCUGCACAUAAAUCUGACCAAAAAGCCAAUAAUAGACCAAUCGAGCAGAAAACUGCACUAGCAGCCCACUGUGCAUUGACUGGUCAUAAGCCAAACCUCAACGAUGUGGACAUCUUAGCUCAAGAGAAUAAUUACAGACGAAGAUUCACUCUCGAGAUGUUGCAUAUCAUCGACUUACCGCCUGACGAGAGAAUGAAUUUCAAGAAAGAUAUAGAAAGCUGCGCGAAGGUAUACCGCCACACAGUCAACAAGCACAGCAGAAGAGAACAUUUAGUUGCCAACAGACAAUAGUUCGUGUAACAACUCAUUAAAUCCUUGAAAAUGGUAGACGGAGUCUACCGAAAUAUUGGAGAAAAAUAAAAGAAAAAAACCUUAAA